Molecule: ribosomal RNA, 468 nt
Filed under: uncultured bacterium
Lineage: Bacteria
Description: partial 16S ribosomal RNA
Rfam family: Bacterial small subunit ribosomal RNA
Source: RNAcentral
GACGAACGCUGGCGGCGUGCUUAACACAUGCAAGUCGAACGGAAAGGCCCUGCUUUCGUGGUGUGCUCGAGUGGCGAACGGGUGAGUAACACGUGAGUAACCUGCCCUUGACUUUGGGAUAACUUCAGGAAACUGGGGCUAAUCCUGGAUAGGAUCUCCUGCUGGAUGGUGGGGGUUGGAAAGUUUCGGCGGUUGGGGAUGGACUCGCGGCUUAUCAGCUUGUUGGUGGGGUAGUGGCUUACCCAGGCUGUGACGGGUAGCCGGCCUGAGAGGGUGACCGGCCACAUUGGGACUGAGAGACGGCGCAGACGCCUACGGGAGGCAGCAGUGGGGAAUAUGGCACAAUGGGCGGAAGCCUGAGGCAGAAACGCUGCGUGCGGGAUGACGGCCUGCGGGGAGUAAACCGCUUUCGCCUGUGACGAAGCGGGAGUGACGGUAAUGGGUAAAGAAGCACCGGCUAACUACGUG